This 179-nucleotide unclassified non-coding RNA is filed under the name fungal sp. RNAcentral describes it as "partial internal transcribed spacer region". The stretch from base 1 to 46 matches the Rfam family "Eukaryotic small subunit ribosomal RNA", at positions 1786 to 1831 of the family's 1831-position model. Lineage: Eukaryota; Fungi. RNAcentral also lists the same sequence under 1 other name. The record is from RNAcentral.
AAGUCGUAACAAGGUUUCCGUAGGUGAACCUGCGGAAGGAUCAUUAAAAAUUUAUACUCCGGGAAUUCGUUUCGUUUUCCCGGGUUAUUUGUAUUCAAAUCCCACUCUUUAUAAAUAUAUUAAUUAUAUAAAAACAAAAAUAAAAAAGAAAACUUUCAACAACGGAUCUCUUGGCUCUC